GGCUGGGUUCCGCAUUCUAUUCCACAAUUAGGGUUUCACACUGCCCCCACACCCCCGUGAGAAUAAUCACAAUCCCCCCUCUGAACUCUUUGGGUUUUGUUAUAUACAUAAAAUUUAUUCUCAAGUAAUGCUGGAAUCCUGCUCCACACACACGAGUACAGUCAAAAGCAAUGCUGGAAUUGUGGUUACAAUUCUCACGGAUCCAACGGGAUGUAAUAGCAGCCUUACAUAAUGUAUGUAGAUUGUAAUAGGCUCUUGGUUACACAAGGUAAUUAAAAGGAAUUCUACAGUACCACAAAUCUAUUCGAUAAUACACAGAAAGUGCAUCGGAUUGAGAAGUAAAAGUAGAUACUUCACAUUGUACUCUUUACUCCGCCCCCUUGCGUAUUAGGUGUUAAGUUGUGUGUUGUAACUCUUUUACUUCAUCCAUGCAUCAGGUAAACCCUAUUUUGUGUAUAUAUUUAUAUGUAUAUAUUCAUAGAUUGCAUAAAUUUUGUGUGAAAAAUGGUGAAGACGUGGAUGUUUUUAUUCAAACAGAAAUUGCGUGAUAAAGCCUUAAACCUGCUGCAAAAGGUAUGAUCAGUAAAGAGUGUUGGAGUUUCAUUCUGACCAACAGUUGAGAAGAAAAAUACAAAAAGUAAAAAAAUGUAGUAGACUCGGCAAACAAAAAACGGAGUUGAAUAAGCAGCAUAACGUAGCAUGUGGAGAAAGUGAAAUACUUUUGCAUGGUGGAUGAUGCCUCGGGCGAUGGCUGCGGGUGUGACGACGCGGAGAACGCAGACAGUGGGCGCCGUCGUCGCGUUGUCAUAGAUUGAUGGUUACAGGAAAACACAGGGGAAGUUAGAGAUAGAGUGAGCACAGUGACAACAAGAGUGGGAGGAACCGCGGCCAACACGGAAUCGCUCGGAGCUGCAGGUCCGACCGCCAGUUGCAGAUGGGGUACAAUCGGUGUGGAAACU
RNAcentral lists this long non-coding RNA (959 nucleotides) under Physcomitrium patens. Its description in RNAcentral is "long non-coding RNA (PPAT_LNC006509)". Lineage: Eukaryota; Viridiplantae; Streptophyta; Bryopsida; Funariales; Funariaceae. The record is from RNAcentral.